Long non-coding RNA from Ictalurus punctatus (channel catfish), 31424 nucleotides. The record is from Ensembl. Lineage: Eukaryota; Metazoa; Chordata; Actinopteri; Siluriformes; Ictaluridae.
AAUAAAUAAAUAAUAGAUAGAUAGAUAGAUAGAUAGAUAGAUAGAUAGAUAGAACUUUUUGGUACACUUCAAACCCCAUUGCUUUGACAGUCUCUGGGCCCACAGUGCAGUUCUGAAGAGACUAUCCUGACUGUUUAAGAUUGAUCUUGCUUUCUUUUUAAAGAACUAUGGCUGGCAACUUGGAAAUUCCAAAAAAAAAGUGCAAUGUACAAAUGUAAAUGUACACCAUGAUAAAGAUCAAUAUCAAAUUAUAUGAAGAAAAAUACUGUGAUAAUAUUUUUGACCAUAUCGCCCAGCUCUAGCAUAGAUCCCUGUAUUUGUUUUAAAAUCUCGCAAUGUGUGUGUGUUUAGUUUUUUUUUCUGUGCAAAUCAUUCAUGUUCAGCCUGAAUAGGCCUUUAUACAAUGGCUGAAGUCACAACAGCCUCCGAGCUCAACAAAAAGCUGAACACAGACAAGGGGUAUAAUCACUGAAUCACUGAGUCACACAGAAUCAAGAAUCUAUACCCUGUUGAUUACUUGUUUAGUGAAUAUUUCAUUAAAACCGCUGUGGAUUCGUGAUGCACCGAAAGGAAAAUUCUGGGCCGAAAUCGAAAAUUCAGGACAUAAUUCAAAAAGGUUUUUGUAGAAUUGUAUUAAUAUUAGACUCUCUCUCUCUUUUUUUUUUUUUUAAAAUCAAUUCAUCGCCACUUGUAUGCACCCAUUUCUCUGGCACACUUUGCUCUGUGCUGCGUGUCGAUCCUUCAGCAGAUGUAUUCAUCACCUCCAACUCUGCCUGCAUCACUUCCCGUGGACGCCGCUUUUUCUCUACGUCAAAGUAACGUUCUUUAAAUUGCAGCUCUAGUAACGUUGCGAUGCAUCGAUAACCGUCGGCUACAUCGAGAGUGAAAUCCAAGCGCUGAGCACUGAGUGGCGGUCGCGGUGCCAUACAUUUUCUAUACAUUUUGUUUUCAGCCUUCCUUAUCUUUCGAAAUUUCGGUGCAUCCCUGUGUCCAUCAUGAAUACAGCUUUACAAUAGGAACUGAUGGUUCAGAACUUUAAAAAAAAAAAAAAAUAAUAAUAAUAAUACACAAAGCAGAACUGUGCGUCAUAAGCAUUCAUCUCGGAAUAAAAAAAAAAUGUAGGUUGGCUCGACAGUGAAAACAAUUUAAAAUCUAAAAUCCAUAUUAAAACAAGCAAAAAACUUAGCUGGGAUUGAAAUUUUGGAACCCUGCUGGAAACCGGAAGAGAAUUUCUUACACCAUAAUAAAUUUAGUAUGCAGUGUAGACAUUGCUAUUUAUAGCGAGUACUUCAGUGCAACAAAGGAAAAUCUAUAGCAAAAGCAGCCACUCAAGAGUUUUGGCAUUUAUAUGAACAUGAACCAAAAAAAUUGAAUCAAACAUCCUGCACAAUAUUGACAAGCCCUGUAACAAACCAUGGCAAUCUGCAGGUCAAUUCCAGAUUUGUCUAAGGCGAAGGGAUUCAUGGUUUAUUCACACAAGCCUCCCAACAAAGCUUUUUAGCAGUCUUGUGCUGCUGUGUGAUUACCCAGCAAUCAAUGAGCACUGAGCAAACACAAAGUAAAGCUUUCGCGGCCUCACCUGCAGAAGUACGACUGAAGGCCUGUAAAUGCAGUUCUACUGCCUCCACCCACUCCCUGGAGAAUAAAGGAGAGGCACUUCCAUGUGGUGCAGUAUCAAGGGCGGGUCAAUCCAGUGUUAUCUUAAGAAUGCAGGUGGGGAAAAAAAAACCCUGUAUGAACGCGACUGCUGACAAUUCAGCACUCUAGCUUGUCUGGUGAGAGAUUCAUGAAAAUACUAGAAAUAAUCAAAACAGUCAUUGUUAGCCCUGUUAUAAUAAUUGCUGGUCCUUUUAUAAUCCUUUAACUGCCACUUGUAGGUUUGUUUUUUUUCUAAAUCCUAACCUAUUUGAGCUCUGGUAACAGAAAGAGAACACAGCAGGCUAACAUUUAAAUCUGUUCAGCUCAAUAACCUCCUGCCACUGAGACCACAAAUCAUAUCAGUGCCCAUUUUCUUCUCUCCCCUACACAACAUGACCCACUUCUGAUCCACACAGAGACUGCAUUUCAUAAAUCAUUUAAUUGUGAUCACAAAUUUCAGCUUCCUUAAUUAAUUAAGCACAGCCCGCUGUGUCGCGGGUGCGAGCAGUCGAAGUUAUCUAAUUGGUUAACUAAAUAUCAGUGUUUAUUGAUUCCGACAUGUUAAAUCACAACCCCAUCAUACUUGUGUUUAUGCUGUCUAACCAACACAGUAUGACAGUUUUACAGUUACGGCAAAACUCAAGCUCACCAGACAAGUACGCAUGACCUGCAACAGCACUGAUUUCCUACUGCGUUGAUAUUUGAAAAAGAAAAAAAUUUUUACAAAAUGAUUAAUAAGACUAAGGAUCCAUCUUAUUUUGAAUCAAUAGGUUAUACAUUUGAAGGAGUUUUAUAAAUAUGUUUUCAUUAACUUAAAUGAUAAGAGAAAGUGCAGUAAAACUAUUUAGUUUCCUAAUUUGGCUGAAUAAUAGGGAUGAAUAUUUAUGAUUAUCGUUUUAACCAUCAACAUGCAGCACUAGCAAAUAUAUUUCAUAAGAAUUCCAUGUUUAUCCAUUACUAGGCAUUAAGGAUUUGAUUAUAUCAUCUAGACAGAUUGAGGGCACAGAAACGCCCUAUUCUGUGUCAUUUAGCAGGAAACAGGUGGCAGCGUCGCCACUGAUUUAAGAGAUGUGAAUAAUAAUAAUAAUAAUAAUAAUACACGAAUAAUGAAUCAUAUGAAAACGCCUCCAUUAUUAUAGUGAGCUCUAGCAAGAAUGACACACUAGGAAAUGGCUACAGCUACUUGACUGCAGAUUGGCAUGGUCAUGUGAGCAACACACACACACACACACACACACACACACACACACACCCCAGCUUGUCAGCCCAGCCUAAAUAUGAGAGCAGUCAAUCAGGGCAGCCAAAGCAGCAAUCCAUGCGAUGCUCACAGGUUCACAAUUAAUCGAGCAAGUCAUUUGUCUAAUUAAGGAACCCCCUCUUAAUCAUCUGUCAUCCACAAGUGAGGUUCGGGAAUGCUUGUUCGGUGUAUGCAAGCACGGUCACAUCUGGUUGAUCACUCCCAGUCGAGUGUUUACACGGUUUUCUGCAACGUUCAUACUUGGCAUCCAAAGCAUUACUCAGGAAAUUGUAUUAAACGAGUGCCAAACAAACAUCUAGGAUCCUUUAUUCUGUUUUGUUUCCACACAAAGACAGUAAGAAAGUUAAAGACACAAUUCUAUCGGGAAAAUUCCACAGUAGGAACUUAAUAACCAGUAAUACUUCGAGUAAUUCUGAAUGAUCUAUUGUUUGAAGACUUGCAUAUGCCUUAGUUCUGUUAAAUGCAUAUUUUGUGGAUUACUAUUUGGAUAUAGUUGAACUGUAUCUGGCCAGCCAUAGAUAGGAUGACAGGCAGCUGGCUGGCCUGAGGCUUUUUGAGUGUCCAACAACCUCAGACACGUCUGCUAGCGGAUGACAGUAGCUUUGGGCUAGCAAACACCUGCAGCUCACCUGCAGAGCAGCAAAGGGAAAGGGACUGGAGUGUUUCACAUUUCUGGCUGGACUGUGUCCCUGGAGAAAGAGCCUUUGGACAAACUAGCCACGUGUGGCCACAAGCAAACUGAAAACCAGAAAUGACUAGCAAUAAUGAGGUGAGUUUGUGCUUAGCACUGGUCAUCAGGAUUAAUAGGUGCUAAAAUUUUGAGAGGAAAAAUUCACGCAGGAUCAGUGCAUUCCAUCAGGUUCAUCAAAGGAACCACUGCUGUUUAGGACACAAUAAAGACUUGAUCAUAGAGACAACUCCGGACGGCCUUUGGAGCCUUUGGCUGCUCUUAAACACGGGUCACAUUCCAUACGCCUCAGCCUGGCCUGCACAUGUGUAUGAGAGCUGUGAAAAUGGCCGAGGCUAGUGGAACAGAGGCUGGAAUUUGCACACGCUACACUCCAAGUCAUCGAGGUCAUGCUGUUCGAUGACUGAGCUGGACUCCACACACGGAGCUGGACUCCACUCAUGGAGCUGGACUCAAAUUCUGACAGCUUGAGAUGAGUACCUUGUGUGAGAGCUUGACCCUCCUGCUUUUACUGACAUGAAAGAGAGGAAUUAAAUGUACUGCAAGAGUAAACAGUGCAUUCAGAUACCAUGAAUGACUGAAUAAGUGAAGUAGAAAGAAAGCGCUAGAAGACUUAAGAAGAAUACGAGCAAAUCACAGGAUGGAUAAUAAAAAGGAACUCAGUUUAUUUCUCAAUAUGCUCGACAAUUCCCAAUUCAGCAAUACUUAAGAUUUAUUACAAUUUAAGCAUCUGCUUUGCUGUUAAAUUAGACAGCUGUGUCCACCGUCAGGAUCUCUAAACUGCUCAAUUCCAUAACACAAAUUUAUUACCAUUUGCCUUGCAAGUAAGUACUUAUGCUUCACAUUGAUAUUCACAAUGAUUAAAAAUCACAAAUUUUAUGAGCUAUUAUGAGCUGAAUGGAUGAAAAAAGGAGAGAGACAUAGAUAAAGGCAUCUUUGGGUGGACUACUUCCUAAUAACUUCUGAAGACAAAACCUGUUUCAAGGACUAUAAUUAUACCAAUAUCAAUCUGAUAAAAAGUCCCGAUAUGGCUGAAAACUACCAUUCAUUUCCUGUUAAAGGUCUGUCCAAACAAACACCUGCCAACAUAAUCACAGAAAAAUACUAGGAUGUCAGUUUAGUCUUUGUCCACCUGAACAAGUGGUGAAGCAUCAAUAAAACCAAUGGAGUGUAUUGUAAAGGUACUGAGGAAGUCAGUGCGAAUAAGAGGAUAUUAACAUAUAAUAAUAAUGUGCUGCUUGGGCCAUUAUCCCCAAUAACAUAUCACUGUAAUAAAACGAUGACGGUAUUGCAAGUCAUCAGUUUGUGGUGAAAUAGUGCCAGCACCUGCUCGGUGUUAUCUUCUGGAAUAUAUACAGUGUAGAAAAUGAGAUGCCAUUCAAAACACUCGAGUGGCUCCUUCCAUUUCCGGCCUGUCCUUGGCAAUGCUAUAUUUCAUAAAAGAAUCUAACCAAAGAUGAUCGUGAUGAUGACAAACUAAGGCAACAGAAGCACAAACACACUUUAGCUUGAUGGAUGCUUCUCUCCAGCCCAUUCCUCUCAGUAAAUCAGCACUAAUGUGGUGGUAAGGGAGGAUAUUCUCUUAUUCCAUUUCUCGCUCACUCUCCCUUUCUCACUCUCUCGCGUGUUCACUCUCGAGAGACCUGGACUCCAUUAGAGUGUUGCCAGGGGCAGUGAAGGAAUGGAGCCCUCGCACAGACAACACUUGCUGCACGAGAAGAGGUCUCCGCUUAGCGAGAAAGACGGAGAGACGUGAAUGGGGGAGGGGAAGAGAAUAAGAGUGAGGAAUGGAUUUUUAAAAGAAGGCAUGAAAUAUUCAGUGCAGCUGUAGAGUGUGUAAGUGGAGAGAGAGACACAGUGUUAUUUAUAUUCAUGUCAAGGAGACCAACACCUUAUUGUGCUAUUGAGGCCUACAACAAAAUGACCCUUUAUCCAUGAACACAGCAAUUCAUUAAGCACUGGUACUAUUACACAUGAGACAAACUAUAAACUACAAGGUUACAACCAACAACGUGACCCUAAACAUUAGAAAACAACUUUGUGAUUACUGGCGUGUACAGGCUAGUGAAAGUGUGAGCAGAGGUGGCUAAACAUACAUGGACUAGUGUUUAUGAAAAGACAUUAAUAUAAUGUUUCAGUUUUGGCAUUCACUUCAGAUUAUUUACUGUUAGGAAUUUUUUUAAGUGGAUUAUUUUGGACUUGAAACAAGGUCAUAACUGAGGCUAGGGCUGAUAUCUUUCAAGUCUAGACUGUAGAUUCACGCAGCCUGUCAGUGACGGUCGUGCUAGGUCACUACACACAGUGAAAAAGCCUCUACAUAGCAGGUCCACUAGUGAGUGUAAUGAAUGAGAAUGAGGUGGAUUAUUUACUUUAACAUCAUCCCCCCCAAAAAAAUGUCUUUGCAGAACAAAACUUAAACUUGACAGACUAAGCACACAUUGUCCAAUCAAAAUAACUAAGUGCAUGCUUUUUGGGGGGUUUGAACUAAAGUGUCACACUUUCCUGCUUGGUAUUUAUAGGAAACAUGACAUGAAGCCAGUACAGCACUAUAUGUCUUUAAGUGUGUGCAAUAGUCUGCUCCACAUCAUUCUUACCAGUUUUUUGUGAUUCUUGCGGCCAAAAACGUUUCUUUCAAAAUUUGUGAUGCAAUUUGCAGAGCUUUUUUUUGUGGAAAACUACUUGAAUAAGCAAAACUGCAAUUGCAUGAAAUUGUCUUUCGCAGUGAUGUUUGUCAGUAAACACACGUUUUAGCUGUUUUCGUGUUCAACGCACGUGAAUUGAAGAGGGCUUUGGCCGAAUCAGUGUUGUGAUGACAUCACAUGACGUGUCUUGUCCAAAAUCUGUGGUAAUUUUGAAAAAUUGCAAGCUCCACCGAAUAUUGCUCCACCGAGUUUGCUUGAUUUUCAUUCAUUUCUACGAUAGCAAAAUCCCAGAAGGACUGUCUUACUAUGCCAUUGAUGAGACCUCAGGAUAUAAUCAUUUCUCAAGCCUAAGAGUUUCAUAAUCCACAUCACAUGCAUCACUCAUGCACCAUCAUAAGCGUUACACUCCUGUGUCAGAUGGCUAGCUAGACUGGGGACAGUUGUUGCCUGGAUUAUCACCAUGUCUGGAUUCAAAAAUGCUUGUGUCUAUCUCCGGCCCUGUGAAAGAUUAUCUGAAUGAUAUGAAGUUCCACAGAGAAAUGCGGCACUCAUGAGAACGGGGCCAGAGAUUUUAAUUCAGCCUGACUUCUCUGCCAAUCCCUUCACCAACAAGAGACACUUUGCCCUUUUUCAAACCUCAGCACAUAUCAGUGCCCUCCUGCUGCUCGUGUAACGACAGAAACGUUCAGUCGAGUGGGCAGUUCGGCGCACAGGCAGCAGCACGAGUUCAUUUCCUCAUGUUGAAAAGUUAGUGCAGUGAUUGGAGCGGAUGGUGUUUUAUGCAUAGAUUUGAGAUUGUUGCCUCAGCUAAGGCUGGCUUCUUUCCAACAUCCUUCUGACACCUCCCCCUCCUCCUUUCUAUUGUUUUUAGCAAAUGUGUUAGCAUGAUCACUCACUAAUCUCUUCCAAUUGUCGCAGUCUUCCUUUUACACUGGAGGGGAGCUUUAUGCCAGGUCAUGUAUACCAUGGCAAACAAAAAGUCUGGUUUAAACUCAAUUCAGCCCAAGGCCUGGGAGAGACAGAUAAUGACACUGAUCAAGAAUGAAAGAGGAAACCACAGAAAGCAGGCUCCUACCCUUUUUAUCCUAACUCCCCUCCAGAAUGCCAUAUUUACCCUGUUUAAUGAGAAGUUAAGAUCUUAAUGGUGUGUUAGUUGGUACUUUUACUGUGUCUGCGGUUGUCGUGUUCAUCUUUAUUUUUGUGUUAAGGUUACUUUUUACACACCUCUACUUUAAGUUCUAUUAGUCUUGAAUACCCCAAUUCUCAAAACAGUAUAUUUUAACUACUCUGUGAUAAUAGUGUCACGUUAAAGCAACAAGUCUUUCUCAACUUGAUGGAGAAAGAUAGUCCAAAGGCCAGAGCAGGCAGCUACUACCUGGUUUAACUCAGUUGCACCACAGUGGCACUUUUGUGAUAAGGACACUAAAUAUAACUCCAUGGGGAGAGAAGCGCGACGACAGCUAUUAAUCCGUCGCACCAGUGCGUUGCGCCUCAUAACUGAUAGCAACCGAGGCUCCGUCUUUCAGCUAUUAGUGGCAACCUCCACCACUUCACAGCAUCACACCUCACACUUGUCACGACCUUCACCCUGUUGCAUACUGUAUGCUCUUUAUAUCAACGCAAGUCUUCCAUAAGUUUCAGUUCACUAACCAUAGGCUGCGACAAGACAUCAGAGCGUUCAAGCAACAACAGCGACAAGGACGCGAUGGAGGCCGGAAGAAAAACCGAGCUGUGGCGCACAUGUGAUAAUGUGUUAAUCGUUCAAUGAACUCAAUGAGCAAUUUGAUCCAAGACACAUAAAAUGUAUCCAUGUUUCUGAAGAUACAGUACAAUGUAGCAGUUCAAACCCUUCCUCUGAGAUUGAUUUAUCUAUUAACGCAUAAAAGAAUCGUCUUGAUUUUUUUUUUUAAACUAAUUUUCUUAAGCCACCAAAGGCCGACCACUCUGCCAUAGUGUUAGAGUUGUUUCUUAGUGACUUUGGUUUCCACAGCUAUGUCAUGAACAAAAAUUUCAUUCCGGUUACCAUAGCCAUCCCUACAGCUGUCCUUGCUUAAGGUCCCUAUUAGCUAGCGUGCAAUACAUGGUUAUGGGAAUAGUAGGGGCAGCAGUGAAGAAUCUUGGGAGUUUUCUUUCUGGAUCAUGUGCUUCCUCCGUCUGAAGGGUCUGUUAGUUUAUCAAACAAACAGUGUAAGACUCCUUAUCCUACAGUGGAGAAACACUUUGCAGGUAGUCUGGUGUCCAAAUAACAAACACACUCCUCUCCCCAAACACACACAAAAACACUGCCUCAAUAAUGCAGGUGCAAGCACAAGAACACAUUCACUACUUGAAGUCUCUUUCUCACACACACUCACCAAAAAUAUACACAGUAAGAUGCAUUCAUGACAUCUUCGUCCUUCAGAAACAAACACUCAAUUCCCAGCUGCCAUUUCUCAUGCUUGUGGCAGAGAUUAAGGCUAAUUGGGCUGUUAAUUGGGCUGAUGGUGCAGGUGUUUAUGAUCUACAUUUACACUAUGGAUUGCCAAGCACAAGCACACAGGGGUCACUGGUUACUACAUGGCUACAUCACAUCAGUCCAAAAUAUUAACCCACAAAAACUGUCACGAUGUUAGUCACAAAAAUGGAAAUGGGAAUAAAAGCUGCAGACACAAAACAGACAAAUAUACAAAGCCAAGUAUUCUAUGUAAUAAAAAUGCCUGCUCAAAGGCACACACCACUCUCCGACAGAUGGCCUACACACAACACACACACACACACACACACACACUACACUUAUGCCAUAACAUAUGGUCAAGUAGUGACAGCAAACCUACACAGGCACAAGACAUCCACACAGAAACAAGUCUCAUCAACACUUAACCAGAGAUUAAAUUACAAAACAUGUACACUCACUGGCCACUUUAAUAGGAUCAUUUAUGCAGUUAUCCAAUCAGUCAAUCAUGUGGCAGGAGUGCAGUGCAUAAAAAUUUGCAGAGCUUCAGUUAUCAAACAUCGGACUAGGGAAAAAUGUGAUCUCUUUGACUUUGAGUGUGGCAUGAUUGUUGGUAACAGAUGGGCUGGUUUGAGUUUUUCAAAAACUGCUGAUCUCCUGGGAUUUUCUCACACACACACACACACACACACACACACACACACACACACACACACACACACCUCUAGAAUUCACACAGCAUGGUGUGAAGAAAAAAAACCUUCAGUGAACGUCAGUUCUGCGGGCAGAAACGGUGUGUUAACGAUAGACAUUAGACUAGUUUGAACAAAUAACCAUUCUUUACAAACAGGGUGAGCAGAAAAGCAUCUCAGAAUGCAAUAACAUGUCAAACCUUGGAGCUGGACCUUCAACAGCAGCGGACCACAUCAGGUUCCAGUCCUCUCAGCCAAGAACAAGAAUCUGCGGCAAAACUGGUCAUAGACUCACUGAAUCAGGACCGUUAUAUUUUUGCUACCAGAUGAUUGGUUGAUUGAAUAACUGCAUGAAUUAGAAGAUGCACAAUUGAAGUAUUAUUCAAUAAUAAUAGUAUUAUUCUACUAUUAAAGUAGCCGGUGAGUGCUCUCCCUAACAUGACCUCGGCAGAAAGCCUAGGUAAGCAUAAAGAGUACGUAAAAUCAUUUGGGGGGAAAUAUGCUUAUGUUUUCCGAGUAGAACGGUGAAAGUUACAAGAAAAGAAAUUCUAAAUAUGUGAAUGCAUGUGGACAUGUAACUACUGGUGAGGAGUGCAUUGUCAUGCGUUUUUAUUGACAGAGUAAGAUUUCUCAUAGAAAUUGAACGUUUGAGACAUCCAUUGUAGUAAAUCUUAGAGUGACAAACCAAGAUGAUUGUAAGACAUCACUGAGCUUCGAUGGCCAACCUCUACCUGUAGCUUUUAUUUUACAUUCCGCACCAGUUGGCCCUCGAUAGCACUCAAUCACAGAAUAUCUUGAUUUGGUGUCAGAGGCUGGCUGAAACAGAGGGUAGACUUCAGCUAAGGGAAUCAGUGCAUCUUAGAGUAAUCCAAACAAGCAAAGUAAGCAAACCACAUACACACCUAGUUUUACUCACCUGCCUGUGCUCAUCUGAUAUUACUAAUAUUGCUAAAAUGAAUAAGUAAUAUGUAAAAUUAGCUAUGAGAUGAGCUAGUAAUAUUUUGAUAUAAUAGUUUGUUUGACUACAUUCCAAAAAACAUACUACUCCUAGAAACAGACUGUUAGUAUAAUCACACCACUGUAGAUAUUCGUGGAAGCCUAACAACUUACUAAAAAGACAUUAUAUGUUGGUUUUUCCCAUUGAUUUGUCAACCAUCUGUAUUCAUCGUUUCACACUAAAUGCUGUUAAUGUACGCUGAAAGAUUAUUCCCCCAAAACAUGUGCAAUCACAGAGUGACAGAUGCGCUCUAUACACACUAAGAUGCUCUAAAACAAUUCCAUUACAACUCAAUAUUCUGUAUCUAAGAGAAGGCACAUGGGUAUUAUUAAAAAAAAAAAAAAUCAAUAUUAAUGUGCCAUGUGAAUAACUGCAGCUACUGCAAAAAAACAAGGCUGGUUUAGAGGAAAUUAUGGCUUUCAGAUGUCUCCAUUGAUGUAGCUAUCAAAUUCUCUGCAGUGGUUAUGGGCCUUAAUCUCAUAACCUGCAUACAAAACACUGAGAGACUUAAGUGUAAAAGUAAAACUGUUGUAGACCAGAAACGCUUAUGAUUCAAUACUGCACUUACUUGGUCAAACCAAAGUUUAAUUCUCUUCCAUCUCCUAUUAAACCAGCACCAAAUAAACUCGUCCGUGAUCAACUAGUUCAGCAUGAAGAAGGGUGCCUGGUGUUACACAGAAAGGUGGACUGUAUUACUCCAGAGAGGUAAACAUAAACCCAAUCUUAACUCAAUGGACCAAACCCAAGACCACCAUCAUGGUGUGUUCGUUAUAUUGCGUUUAAGUUUAAAUCCACCCCCACAGAGCGGGUUUAAUACGAGUCUUGAAUAUCUUGUUUUGAAAAGAGAAAACCCUGUCUGUCUGAUACUUUGCAUUAUACAAGUUAGUUCUGGUCCACUAAGCUGCUUGUAUUUGCUCGCCACAUAAAAUUCCACUUCCUAGUUCGAAACCAUCACUACAGUACUCUUUGCGACAUCAUCAGCGGACAUGGCAAACGAUACUUUCCAGGAAUACAACUUUUGAUUUAAAAUAGGAAAGCUCGUCAGUUGAAGAUUAAAAGGAUGAAAGGAUUUUAGGAAUGUACAAAUCAAUGUGAGCUAGCUAGCAAGCUAGCCAACGUGCUAUAACGUGAGCGUGGCUUCUUCGGGAUCUAUUUCCUCUAGCGGAGCAAAAUAUAACAGAACAUCUGGCCAUAGUCUGUCCAAAAUGUCACUCAAUAUUAAUUUAUUGUUGAUAGAACUGAAAAGCAAUAUCACACUCGCAAUCAUGCGAUUACCUACGGCCAGAUCACAGCCGUACUGAUAUUCAGUAUAACCGCACUUUUGCUCAGUCCAGGUAAAGCAGGAUCAGUGCUUAAUUACAGUGAACCAGAAACAGCACUUUAACACACCUGCCUGAACUCAUCAGCUAAUUAUCAGGCACUUCAUGAGUUCAUUCAGAUGUGCUGAAGCAGGGAAAACAUCACACUCUGUAGUGCUAUGGCCCCCAGGGCUAGUGCGUGACACCCCUGCCGUGGAGAGAACAGGAGUCGCUGAAAAACAGUGUAGAAACUGAUUCGGGUAGGAAUAGUGAGCAUGUAAUGAUCUGAAUGGGGGUUAACGUGGCUUUAGGAACAGCUGAGCAGCAGCAGCUCACUAAUGGGCCUUGGCUCCUUAAAGAGUGUUGAGGAUUGUGAGAACAUGUCCGGACAUGCUGGCAAUAUAAAAGCCAUCAAGUACACAAAUGGUCAGAAUGCACGCAAAUAAAUCACUCUUUUCAUUUGUGAGAUUGUUGAAAGCAUACAAAAAGGUCAUUAGAUGAACAAAUCCUGCACAAAAAGCAAUGAGAAAUGAGUGUAUGAGUAAAGCUUUUAUCGACUGAUCUAAGUGCCUGAUGAUUAAAUUAGGAAAUGCCAUCCAAUGGCUAAAUAUAAACAGUUUUCAUUUGGUGUUGGUUUGUAAUUUUGGGUUUGGUUUUAACCUGAUGACUCGUCAGAUUUGCAAACCCUUGUACUGACAAAACGCAAUCACGAGUCAUCAAUGGAGACGCAUGAAAAUAUCAGGCGUGAGCGGUUAUCCGUCUUGGCUGUUCACUUGCAACUGGGUGUGAUCGAGUACCAAGUCUAAAGAGGGCCAUAGUUCAAGAGACCAUUUAAUGCUAACACAAUAACAAGAGUUAAGAUCAGUGCGAGGGGUUAAGAAAGGGAUGAAAACGUUUAAAAGCAAGCUAAAAGAUGAAUGAGUCAUUCUCAUGAGAGAGAGAGUGCAAGCAACACAACUGAAAACACCUUAGCUUACCACAGUGUCAAUUAAAGAUAGUGACUUUACUUGUUGCCACUGUAACCAUCUCUUACUGGAGAUAGCUGCAGAAAAUGUUUCCUAUUAAUUUGGUUUAGAGAAUGAAUCAUGCAGGAGAAACAGAUUUUUUGCUUUAUUACAUGCACCGCAUUUAUACAUUUUGCUGUCAGAAAGAGAAACUAAAAGCGAAAGGGCAAAAAUAGUGUGUGUGUAGGAGUGUGAGAGUUUCUUGCUCUGCUACAUUAGGCUCUGGCUUCAGCUGUUGUAAAAACUGCCCUGUGGCAACCAGAGGCUGGAGGGGUUUUUUUGUGCUUGGUUGUCCAUUUUAAAUGGGCAGUCAGAUGUGGAAUACCAUUAGGCCCAUCUGCUGUCUCCUUACCACAGGAGAGCAGCUGCCCACAGACUUACUGAAACCAUUACCACCACUCCAAAUCAAAUCUUUACCACCCUAGCAGAGGACAAUAUUAACAAGAUGGAAGCCAAUUAGAGAAUCUCAACUUUCCAUGAACAUCGCAAGUUUAAUAACAAUGACACUGGUAUCAAUCUCACACGGCUAGAUCCCCAGUGUCAACAGAUUAAAACUCACUGGAAUGAAACCCAGGCAAACGAGACUGCUCUUCAACUCUGUUCAAGCAGCAGGAUUCUGCCACAAACCCCCACUUCAUUCUGACCCAGAGAAAUAGGAAAGCAGUUGGUAACCAACACACUGGAGGUUUCUCGAGAAAGUGCUGCUUUUGAGUCUCUGAACUUCCAAACAGAAGGACUUGCAAUUUACACUUUGUAAAGAGACUUACUACAGAAAGUGCAAGCUUUGCACUAGUUAAAGUAGGUCAAAUGUGCCACUACUGGGAGGGUGGGUGAAAGAUUUUGCCACAUUUGUAGGAUGCGAGUGAGUACAUGAAAAAAAUGACGUGUAAUUUUAGUGUUAAUCCAAGGUUUAUCCUACUAAAUUCCUUUGCAUAGCUUUAGUAGGUCUACCUUAAUUCUAUCUAACGUAUGACUGGCACUGCUUCCCACUACCACCAAUUUUCCCAGGCCUUUUUUUAGCCAGGCUGUCCACACCUUCUUCGCCUCUUCAGCCAGUAAGUAUGUUUAUGAGGCAGGGUUUCUGACACCUUAACUAAAAUGUUCAGAUUUGUAAUGACCAUCAUGAAGGAGGUGGUCAAAAACAUUUCAUACACUGAUAAAGACACCCAUACAAACUCAGUGUCCCUCAAAGACCCAGUGCUUCCCAGAAGCUAAUCGCAUUAUAUCUUUUGUGCUCUUAAGAAGCGAGAAAUGUAAAGCUGUACAGUAACCUUCAUCUGUUUCUACUGACCACCGAGAGACCCUUUCGGCAUGAGUCUCCUCCUUAAAAGUGCUGUAAAGUGACAGCGCGCAGUGCGCAAGCUACCUUUUCACAUCUCUCUUCAAUUGACCUGCAAUCAUUGGCUUCCAUUGUCACCCCCGAAGCUGCUAUCCUUUCCAUAACUAACCUCUCUCAUAGGCAGUAAUCAUCACGGGGGAUCUAAAAGGAUUACGCUGAUGGCUGUCACAAAGUUGGGUGGGUUCCGGCAGUGGUGAACAGUUUAUGUCCAGAAUCUGAUACGAAGUACCAUAGAAAGAGGAGGGAUAAGAAAGGAGUUGAUUUCUAGAUUUUUCUGGAGAUACAGAGAAAUUCUCCUAAAGCCCUAUUGAGCACAGUGACCUUGGAAGGCUAUUUUUAUAGUGUCAUUCAUAUAAGGGAGGAGAAAAAGAAGCCAAGCCUUUGAAAAACCUUUACACAUACUGUCUUUUGGAGUAUAAACAUCAAAGGGAAGUGGAGAGUGACAGCAGCAGAAAGACUGGUCCAAGUUCUCAUUUUGCUAUUACUGUUCCAGAGCAAUUACAGGAAAAGAAUGAAAAUGUGAAGGUUAGAGAAAAUGGAGGUGUGCUUUAGAGGAUAAGGAGAAGAAAUUUAGGACAGAAAUCUUGAGUUUUAGCAAAAGCUAUAAAAACCUACAAAAGCCUAAGAGAUGUCAGGUUUAAUAGAUAUAAAGUGAAGAUUUAGCCCACCUGGUGGGUGCUUGAUUGGCUUUUGGUUGUUAUAUUCUCUGCUCGCUUUCAAAUGCUUGUCAGAAUCCGGUGCAGUAUAAUUUAACCCCCGCAGAGCACCAAACAGAAAAAAACCCCAAACCUUAAACUUAACGAUAUUACAGCUGCAAACGUGAUUAAACAUAUGCCUUAAGGUGGGACAGCAGUGGUGCAGAAAAUGUAAUCAAGCAGGAACCAAACCCAGCAAAAACUGCUCUUUAUGGUAUUUUGGAAUUGAAUGUGACUGAUAUUUUAUAUGCAUAGUUAAAUCCAACUUCAGAAGUGGUCACUUUAGCAAAAAUGGGCUGCUCUCGCUGAAUCUAUUAGAUACAGCUUUUAAUAAAGUUAACCAUGAUAUUCUCCUGGCCACCCUCUCCACCUUGGUUUCAUAAAAACUGCACCGAGAUGAUUUAAGUCGCGGUAAGUCAGGAAACCACUGCUAUACCUUCAGGUUCUGUGUUUGGCCCGCUCCUUUUCUUUUGAACACCAAUUUGUAUCAGUUUUCCAUCCACGCUGAUCACAGUAUUCUGAUAAUAUUUUGCUUUAAACUCCCUGUAAAGUGCCCUGACACACGUAGCCUUAUUCAAUGUCCAUGGAAACAGGAAGUCAGGGUGGGACAUAUCGAGUGGCUCCUCCCCCUUUUUAAAUAGCCAACAGCGUUUAGCUUACCUCACAGCUAGAAAACUUACAACAGCUGGGGCUGGGACACUUCAGAGUCUAAAGAGCAUUUGAUGGGACAGAAAAUCUGAUGAGAAGCCAAAGUGGAGAAUGAGGUCAUCAAAAUGGUUCAUCCGUAUUGGCGGUAGAGAGACUGUCAAUUUAGAACGCGGAUGUCUUCCAAAUGCAAAUUUUAUCAUUGUUCUUCCAUUUUGAUUUCAUGGGGACUUUGUCCAGUGUCCAUCCUCAGGAGAAUGCCAUGGUCUCAGCACACAUUUAUGUUUGCCUUACAGCCAAAAUGAAGGAUCUCCAGAUCAAACAAACAAACCAAAAUCAAUCCGCUUCUGAUAAAGCAUUCCAGACCAGUACUGGUAACUUUCUGAAAAAGCUUUCCAAGCCAGUACUGCAUCCCCAACUAUGUAUCUUUAUGCACUGGUCAUUUCUAUUAAAUCAGUCAUUGGCUCCAGAGUGUCUGACAGAUGAGGUUUUUAUUUGGUCAGGGUGAACUGAAACUUGCCAUUUUGAAAGACUCCAGAAAGAGACAUUUUACAAAUCAGCAGUAUGGGUUAGUGCUCAAGAUGAUUUGAUUGGCAAGUUAAACCAUGGCAUGUACUGUAUAACCGAUUUUUAUCUUUUUGAGAAAGAAGUUCAUAUUCAUAUUCACAAAUAUGCAUUGUGCUAAAGGUCACUGCAGCAGGAGAGCUGAAAAGUAUGAUCUGUUUUACAUUCUUGCCAUAGCAAAAAGUCAGUGCAAGCAGAUAGAAGGCAGCAAUAAACCCUCUGGCAGAGAUGGAAUUGCAUCAUUAAGUCCUUUUUUAAGUAUUCUUUUUUUAAAUAUAUCCCCCCCCCCUACGUUCUUGCCAGCCUUGUCCAUCAAACAAAUCUGACACAAAAUUGUGACAGUUGAAGUCAGAUCACUUUCAAAAGACUCUUAAUCAAUACUCCUAAUGAAGGCAACCUUAGGUAACAAUCGAUGAUCGUCUUCGACAGACACAUGACAUUUUCUCUGAGAGCACUUGAAUAUGAUUGUAAAAACACCCACAACCCCUUCCCUUUGAGUGUCUAUGUAUAUAUUAGUCUAUCCUUAUGCCUUAUGUAUUGAGAUGCAAUUACCAUUUAAUGUAAACCAGCACAAAUUACAGUUACUAUAACUGUACAUACAUUACUAUAUUUACUGUUAUUAUUAUUAUUAUUAUUAUUAUUAUUAUUAUUAUUAUUAUUAAGCAUUAUUAACAUCAUGUGUAGUUCAGCUGAUUGCUUUAUGACUAAUAUUAGUAGCAUGCCUUUGUAAUCGCACUUACUCCAAUUGUCUUUACUUGUCAUUUCCUCUUCAGUUCUGAGGCAGUUAUAUUGAUGCUGGCUGUUCAAACAGCUACAGUGCCCUGCAGACUUAUUAGCACCUACAUGAAAAUGAGCAAGAACUAAUAUACAGUUACAAUCAAAAUUAUUCAACUCCCAUUGCCAAUCAGGCUUACUGAAGCUUUGGUGUCAUUGGGCCUUCCAACCGGACAAUGAUCCUAAGCAUACCUCAAACUCCACCAAGGCUUGGUUGCAGGAGAAGUCCUGAAAGAUUCAGGGCCAUCAGGUGACUAUGACUUGAACCCCAUAGAAAAUCUCUGGUGGGAUUUGAAGAAGACUGUUGUAGCACAUGGGAAUUUGGGGAAACCACUUGAAGCAUCCGUUGUGUUGAACUAUUUCAGUUGCUUUUGUUUGAUUUGUUCAUUGCAAACAGCUGAAAGUCUGUUAAUUUUGACAAUAAACUUGAUUUGCAAUGGAGGUGGAAUAAUUUUGAUUGCAACUGUAUAAAAAAAACAAAAAAAAAAAAACCACCACACACACAAAAUAAGGGAUAUUUUCAGCUUCAUCAUACAGGAACUUUGUAUAAUUAAUAUUUUGUGAUGCCUGCCAGGGACCGAAUAAAAGCACUGAGUGUCUUCUAAAGUCUAAUAAGGUUGGACACACAUUUAUAGGAAUCUUGUUCCAUUUCUCCAUGCAGAACAUUUUAGGGGGCGUUCACGCUGGCACGUUUAUUCCGAAACAGAGCACGGUUUGCAUGACGUGAAAGCGGCAACACGGACCUGGAAGCGCACCACGGUACCGAACUUAGACUUGCUGUGGGAGAUGGUUUGAGUUCGGCUGCACUGGAACUGUGCUGCGAUUCCUAUGACUGUGAGCUCAACUUGUACUCGGGUCCGCACUUGGUCAGGAAGUAAAGUUACAUGCGCGUGUUUUAGUCCAUGAUGACGACCAUCAUUCGUUUCCAUAGCACACGUGUACCAUGAGUGGCAGGGGGAUGUUGUGGGAUACAAAAGAGGUCCUCUGCUGCACAUAAUAUCUGCAGCGCAUAAUAGUACCAAAAUAAUUUCUUUAAAAAAAAUUAAAAAAAAAAAAAAAAAACUGUGAGUAGCGUUGUUUUCUCCAUGUGCGUUUAGGAUGAUGCACAAUGAACAAAAAUCCACCAGAGUUCGAUAGAAUCAAUUAAGUCUGAAACCAGACCAAUGCUGCAUGAGGCACCAGGAACAAUCGCACUCAUUUUGGAACCACAGUAAGGUUCAAAAUCAGAGACUGAGCUAGGGAUUGCGAAACUUUGAGUUAGUGUGUCUUUAAGCAUUCCGGUGUUGAUUUGGAAGUAUGUUUGGCUCAUCGUUUUGUUGAAAUUUUCAUACGAUUUCUACUGACUUAAUGCGUAUGCAGGGUAUAACAUAUCUGAAUACCGACUGCAGUAUUUGCAUACUGGUGCCUCGAACGGCUAGUCUGGUAUUCAAAUAUCUUGCACUGAGAGUUAUCAAGUUCUGAGAGGUCUAAAGGUUAUAAAAAUAACUAAUGUCUCAAAAUCACUGACGAGCCUAAAGGAGAUCCUUUCAGAGUUUUUUCGAACACAGGUAACAGCAGAAAUAUUAGCCAAACCCUUGCUGGCAAACAUAAUAAGACUGUACGGAGUCACAGAGAUCAACACCACCCCUUCCCCUGUGAACUCCAGUACUGUAUUACUUGCUUAUUUUAUCGGUCAAGCUGUCAAAAAGACAGAAGACACAAUCCAAUUUUGUUAUAUAUUUUUAUGUCUCACUUUUGCUAUUCGGAUUCAUAUGGCCCUUCAUAUUCAAGUCGCCGAGGGAAACUUCAUAACUCCCCAGAGCUAUAAAUAAGCCCUGACUGCAGCAUAAUAAGCAAUAAGACACUAAAACUGCUUGAAAAUGGAUUUGCCUAGCAGACAGUGUUAUAGAAAAGUUCUGAUUUAUUAACACAAACAAGCUCCUCUUUUUUUUUUUGAUAUCAUCUCUCAUGGAGAUUCUUGUAAUACAGAAAAGGAAGAACUAUAGACAUGUAGAAGAGAAGAAUUUUUGAAAGUGUUUGAAGAAAUUUUUUUUACAAGGAAUUCAGUCGAGUUCACAUACCAUUUAUCAAUGCACACAGCACACACCUGGACUCGAUAAAAAAAAUAAUUACGAGAAGAAUUCAGUAUAAAUUCCUACUAGGAAAGCAAUGUGUUUUCUCUAUCUCUCCCUUCUCCCACCUCUUUUUUUUUUUUUUUUUUUUUUUUUUAUCCUGAGACCAUAGCAUAUGCAACACACGGGUCCUUAGGGAGAAGGCAGGCAGAAUAGGAGGAGGCUCUCGGAUUUCUUGCCAUGAUCCUGCUCAUUAAUCACACUGAGUGAACCUGUGCAUGGGCUUCUGUUCGCCUUCGGGUGAUCAGGGUGGUUUCUAGCAGUCCAUCAUUCAUAAGGCUGCGGACGCCAAAAAAGAACACGGACUAAUUUCAAUGCCGCAUAACCAACCCCGGAAAGUAAAUGUGCGGUGGGCAGGGGCUGUAAUUGAGAUAGUUCCCAUUCAUAUAAACAUUGCAACUUAUCUGAUCAAAUGGUUAUAGCCACAGGCGCUAGAAUGGGGAGAAAUGAGUGCUCAGAUCUAAAUAGUUCUGCCCAAGUACAAACAAACAAAGAGUUGCUCAGAUGAAAACACAAACACACACCCCCACAUUGAGCGACGACGUCUGGCUGUAUUGUGCGGAGACACGGGCAUAAAACAUACACCACAAAAGAGCUGAACCUGACUGUGGUGACAACGCUACCAUUCAUCAACCACAGCAUGCCUGCCUGACAGCACCUCCCACUGUGUCUGUGUGUGUGUGUGCGCGCGCAUCAGUGAGCGAAGGAGCACUGAAUAUUUAUUCAUUUGCAUGCAACGGCAUUAAACGAUGUGUGAAUCUGGCUUGGAUGAUAAGGCUUUCUUUCUUUGCAGACUUGUAUACAUGAGUGACAAACACACAAAAUAGGAGAGUGGAUAAUAACGCCUUCUGAUGUUCUAAUAUUCCACAUGGGACUACAAAUUGUAGAGGGGGAUGAUGAAAAUAACACUGCAGAUGAUACAAACUAGGACAUCAUAGCACCAUGUGUGCACCAUAAGGCUAGCUAAUCAAUAUUACCAGCUCCACUAAUUAAGCAUUUAGAAGAAACUUUCCCGAACCCCCCCCCCCCUCUCCAGCACUUUAAUAACUAGGAGUAUUAAAAAAGCAAAAAACUCACUUCGCUCAUCGUCAUCCAUAAGCAGAGCUCUCCAUCAGUAGGGGUGGAAAUAACUCGGGACUUCUCAAUUUAAUUUUAUUUCAAUUCAGGAUGCCACUAUGUGAAUAUAAAACGAUUCUUUAUGCACAUUUAUUUCUUUUUAUAGUCUGCAUUAUGAUUUUUUGUUCCUACAUAACUUGCUGCUUUAAAAAAAAAAGAAAAAAGUACCAAGCUUUAUAUUUGCAUUAGGGCUUUCAGGAUAUGUUUCACUGUUCAAAUGUUUUUAAUAUUCAUAUUUUUUAAAUCAAUGUUCAAACACUUAAGAUACCCAUAUUCUACUUUUCCUUGCAGAACACAGGCCGAGUCAAUCAAACCAUGCAUUUCUCAAUCAUUUGUGACUACAUGACACUGCUUUCACUAUGGCGGAUCAAUGGUGAAGGCUCUGGGAUACUGAUCAGAAGGUCAGGGGUUCAUGCGCACUGCCAAGCUGCCACUGUUGAGCCCUUAACCCUCUCUGCUCCAGUGGCACAGUAUCAUGUCUAACUUUGCACUCUGACCCCAGCUACCCAACAAGCUGAGAUAUACAAAAAAUCUAUCUAUCUAUCGUUGCAUAAUCAAAUUAAUGAUAUAAAUACACUAAAUCUGGUCAAUUUUUUUGCGCAUUUUGAAUACACUUAAUCUAAAUAAAUACACUUAAUGGAAUGAAGUAACCGAAAUUUUUUAAUAGCAUGCAUUUUUCCUUAGAAAUUUAUGCAUAAGACCAUGUAAAAGUCUAAUUAUGACAUUCUGUGCAUGGAGGAAGCAGCACUCAAGAGAGAAAGCAAUGCAUCUAUGGAUUUUUCCUCUCCCAAUCCAAAUGUAGUCUGAAAACAUGGCAGGGAUUCCAAUUUUAAUUGUGGCCCAUUGCUUAUGCUCCUGAAUGAAAAGCAGAGAUGAAUAAGAGAAGCUGAAAAGUUAGCAGGGAUUAUGCUUUGGCAGGGUCGAGAGGACGGCUUGUAGAAACCGUAAAUCAGCCCUUAGUGGGUGGAUAAUAAUCUCAGGGAUAAUGAGAUACAUGAAGACAAGCUUAUGAGAGGCAGCAAAAGGUGUGAGCGCCCUAAAACAGGUGGGACCUCGAGAGAAAGAUCCGAUACGCAUGCAUCUAGCUUUAGUCUCAAAGGUUUCAAUUGAAUUCAGUCACACUAACAAGGCCUGUCUGAAACGUGUCAGCUCUGGAAUGAGAGGAAGAGAUGAGGGUUGGUUGUUGCACAAAAUGUCUUCUUAAAGUUCAAGUUCAACACUACACACACACACACACACACACACACACACACACCUCAGUACAUGCAGGUGUGUAAUUCGCUUAAUACAUAUUAACCUGAACGGUGGGCAGAAAAUGUAGCAGUAAGCAAACUAAUUAUGUUGUAAUGGUGUGUAAAGUUGAAGGUUAGGGUUAAAGGAAAGGGGAAUAAUCUGCUAUUCAAAAACCAUCUUGUACAUUCUGGAGAUUCAAAGUCAUAUCCAGGGCUUCCAAAAUGUAGGAAUGUCUUGGAAUAAGAUUUUGGGUGUAGGUUAGUUUUAAACACUAAUAAGAUAUUUUGUAUUAAAUGAACUCUAUGGCCAACAUAUUCACAAGUAUUACUGUAAAACUGUAUUUUCUAACUGCCAUUUGUCUCUUGAAUAUAACAAGUCAUGGAGAUAAGCUUUAUAAUAACUGUAUCCAUACAGUUAUAUAACAUGUAACGUAUAAGGUUACAAACCAGAUAUAAGGUUACAAACCAGAAUUUGGCGACAUCAGAGAUACAAGUCACCCAUUUUAAAUCACAGGGGUGAGCAAAAAUUUGUUAGCUAGUACACUGGGAUCCAUUAAUCUCAUUUAAAUUUAUUAUCCGAGUCUGACCAGUGUCUUUAUUUUCUGUCAGCAUGUUUAACCACGAUGUGACUGCGACUGUGACGUGCUGUGACUGCUUUGUUCCGAACUUUAUUUUACUCGGUUCUGUCAGUUUCCACACAUCUGCAUGGUUCUGAUUCUGAAAGGAUCAUCGUCGUCAUCAUUUGUGCAUGCUAAUUAAACACUUAAUUAAAUAAAUAACUAAACAAAUAAACAAACAUUCCAUCAUCAACGUGAUCUCACAUCAGCCGUUGUAUGUAGCGCAGCAGGUCGUGGGAUUUAUAUGCGUGCACUAUAGUUAUAGCACUGAUGUGACUCACAUCGCCGUAAAGCAUGUUAAUUAUUAAACAUACAUACCGAAUGAAAACUUAUUGGAAUUUUUUGUGAAAAUCCAUCCAUCCACCCACACAUCCAUUUUCUAUACCGCUUAUCCUACAGGGUCUUGGGGAACCUGGAGCCUAUCCCAGCAGACACGGGGCACAAGGCAGGGUACACCCUGGACAGGGUGCCAAUCCAACACAGGGCACAAUCACAUACACAUUCAUCCGCCCAUUCAGACAAUUUGGAAAUGCCAAUCAGCCUACCAUGCAUGACUCUGGACUGGGGGAGGAAACUGGAGUACCCAGAGGAAACCCCGCAGCAUGGGGGAAGAACAUCCAAGCUCCACACACACAGGGCCGUGACAGGAAUCAACCCCCCAAGAAUGGAGGUGUGAGGCGAGCGUGCUAACCACUAAGCCAUCAUGUGCACUUUUUGUGAAAAUCAAUAAGGAAAAGUUUUUUUUCUGGUUAAACCUACUGUUCGCUCUGCCAAUUAUGAAUAGAAACAAAUAGCCCAGACACAAACUCUGCUUUGUCACAUGUGCUCAGGCUAGAGAUUUGUCCACCACUGGAUCAAUGUGCUGAUUUAUUGCUUUGGCACAGAGUACCUAAUAUAAAGCAAAAUAGCAUAUAUACAUAGGGGGGGGGGGAAAGUGAGAGUCUAAUACCAAAUGUGUGAAAAAACCUGGGCAAUCCUAGACAGCAUUCAGGGAAUAUAUAAACAGACAUGUACCUGCAUGCUUUUUGCUUUUAUUACUUUACACAAAUAAAUGUCAGAUUCUAGCUUUUCACUCUGUAUUGAAGUCAAAGCAAAUGGAAAUGGAGAGAAUUAUCAGCUUUUUCGCAAGGCUAAAAAGCACACUUGGAUAUAUAAAAAAGUGAACCCAUUCACUUCCUCAGUUUAAAGAGCAGGCAACCAGGUGUUUUGCUGAAUGCAGAUAUGGCUUCUGUCCACUCCUGGAAAGGUUGCUUAGUCCUCCAGCUCUGUGAUCGGAGAGGUCACUUUCCCCAAGUCUUUCUUCAAACGGCACUCAUCCCAAGACUGUGGUCCAUUCACGAGCCAAAGAAAACAGCCCUAAGCGCUCUGCAGUCUAAUCAACCACUUCCAGCCAUCUCUCUCUUCCUCUCUGAUCCCUACAGCCUUUAGUCAUGUGGGUAUGAAACCCUGUAUGCUUUUAUACGAAAGAGGAGAGACAGAGAAAGAGCAAGCAAGAAGCAAUCUGAAAGUUUAAGAGAGAGACGGGGAGGGAGACAGGGAGCCAUCAACAUUAAAAGCUCCGUUUACCUUAAGUAAACAUUUUGUCCAAGAGAGAUCAUGAGCAAACAAUCUGCAAUUAGGCCGAACCACUUAUAUUCUGAAUUAACGCAUCGUCUAAUCUACAGUGGCUUAUCGACUCGAGAAAGCAUUACAAUGCCUGGUCCAUUGAGCCUGCCACAGGUACUAAAAUAACGUGGCCUGUAAUGAAAAUUAGUGUCUGUGACUUUACUGCUACUUUUACAGCAGAACAGAUGCCAAGGUAACAUUUAAUGUGCGCACAUGAUAAUGUAGUAAUGUCCAUUAGUAACUGGACAUUGACUUUUGUUGUCACUGCCCAAUACUGGAUUUGAAGAACACAAUGCAAUGAGGAUAAAUGACAGACUCUCAGUUUUGAUUGGAGAGCAUUUACAUCUGUUUUGUAGAGCUGGGCAAGACAAUAAAAUAUAAAUAUUGUGAGAAAUAAUGGAAAAAUACACUAACAUGUAUUGUCAUAUAUCUGUUUCAUUACAUAACAUUAAAAGAACUUUACAAACUCUGAUUGGAGGCAGCUGAUUUUAUCUUUAUUUUUCACUCAAAUUAAUUUUUUUCUCCAUUUCAGUUUUAGGAAAUUUAUUUUUGUAAACAUUAAAUACAAGUAUCAUUAAACUUCUAAAACCUAAUCUUUUUAUUUUUAAUAGAUGGAUUUUUUUUUUAAUGCAACACUGUGCUAGCAGUCCUAUAUAUUGUGUGCAUAUCAUUUAUUGUAGAAAUGUCUUCAAAUAUUGUGAUGGUAUUUUUGGCAUCACAAUAUUGGCCACCGGAUGAAUUAUAUAUGGGUCACCACUGUGUUUUUUUUUCUUUUUCUAUUUAACACAAUGACUAUAAAUAACUGGAUAUAUUAUCCACCUUAAGGAAAAUUGCUAUCUUUAGUAUUUCCUUACAGAUCAAAUGUUGGGUAUCUCCACAGUUCAUGGUCUUGCAAUCUGUUUUCGUUGUUAUCUUUAGCGAGUGAAAUGAAUUGCCAUUUUGGUCAGGUUUUGACGAUACAAAAACUAUAGCUGCUUUUGCAGUAUCUUUCAGACCCUGGCCUGCUGAAGAUGAAGUAUCAUCCAUGAAGAUGUGGGCCAUUUGUUUGGAUUUGUGUUUCGAGUUAAAAUGCUUCAAUAAAAUUCUCAUUUCAGAAUUCAUCCCGCUGUUGCAGUUGGCAGUCACAUCAAUCACGCCAAGAAAUCCUGAUCCACCAGCCACCAGACAUGAUCAUGCUACCAGUGUUUCACAGAUGAAGUGAUGUUCUUCGGAUCAUUGGCAAUUCCUUUCGACUUUGGAUCAGUCUAGCUGGUUGAGAAACAGCCGAGCAUAAACGCAUUCAAUUACUUUGAAAUCCUUUAUUUCAGGAACCCUAAGUAAAUCACCCGUAAAUUAAAGGUUAAAAAAAAAAUAAAAAAUAAAAAAUAAAAAAAAGGUCACCUUUAAAUUGAAGGAUAAUUACAUUUUUACAUUAGAUUCACUCAGCCUAGGAGAAAUGGUAUAAUCAGUGUACAAUUACUUACAGCCUGCACACUAUGUUAUGCACUUGCAUUAUAAAGCUCUCAGUUAAAUAUGUCAAAGAUGGGUAUUAUUACAGACUGACAUGUACUAUAUGCCAAUUAGAUGAAACAUUGAAGAGUUUGACUUUUACAAGGACAUAACAAUGAAUCGUGGAAUAGUUGAUAAAUCUCUAACAACACUGUGUCGCUGAACAAGGUAUAGAAGGUAAGAAAAAGGUAUAAUAUGCAGGCAGAUUAUAUAAAAUAGCACAGUCUGGAGAAUGGUAUUACCAUUUGAGUGAACAUUCCAGAAGCCAUACAAAAUCAUCCAGGGGUCCUAGAGGUGGAACAUCCCCCAGCCACCCACAUACAAACGCAGAGUCCUCCCGCAAGUCGAUGUUCACCGAGUGAACACGAUCUAGGUUAUGUACGUACAAGGGCACUGGGAUGUCUGUGGUCAACACGAACUGAGGAAUGUGGGUAAAAGUCAAGGGGUAUGGGUCGGCUGAAGCUCACUGGAGCAAGAGAUUGGCAGCAGAACAUACACAUAUGCAGAAAAAGAUGGAAGGGGUAACAGUACAGGGGGACAGUGGCACUGCUUAAAGUGCUAUAUAAAAAGUGCCUAAUUUUGUUUUAGAGGUCUCAUACAAUAGAUUUACAUGCACCCAAGGUAUAAAAAAAAAAAAAAAAAAAAAAAAAAAUAAAAACCCUUUAAUUUUCUCAUAAUCUGCAUUGCAGUAUUAUCUCUUUUUCUCAGGGUCACAAACGGCUCGCUCAAUGAUCCGUUCACUCUAAACUCCUCCUUUUAGGGAGCCUACUCUGCUCUGAUUGGUCAGAUCUCCCAGUCUGUUGUGAUUGGUUUACCACUGUUAGCGCGUGUCAGAAAGGAAUCGCCCAUCACCAUAUCUGAAUUCCAGCUUAGUAAUGAUGUCGUCAGUUUAACAUUAUCAAUAACCUUAUCAAAAUACAUAAAUAAGUAAUCAAUCAUACUUAAAGGUUGUGAUCCAGAGGCACAAUAUGGUCAAAAUAAAGUGGGUACGGCCCAGUCUUUAAUGAAUAAUCAUUUCGCAAAUCCCGUGUUGACUUCGGCUAGAUUUGAGAAGCAGUUGUUAGUGAAAUGACGGGAACGUAAACGAAGGUCGGAGUUGAACUGCUGUGGUAACAUUUUAAAAAAUGAGUUCUAGCCACUGAUGCUUUAUCCUGAUCCUCAUCCUCUGAGAGUCAAUGCAAAGUGGUUUUGCUUUUGCAGCGCAGACAACAACGUCUUCUAGACAUGAACCUAACUUUCAAGACGCAACUACUGUAGUGUUUGAGGGCGGGUAAAAGUACACGUUCACGAGCAGCCAAUGAAGACCAGAGGUGGGCUUUGUACAGGAAGUCUGGAAUUCCUGACGAAUCGGUUCCUUCUUUUGGGAGUCAAUAACUCGUUUGUCGUGCACUUUGAUUUUUUUUUUUAACUUUGCAGAUUUUUUACAUUCACAAACAGCUACAUAACAUUACAUGAAAGGUAAUAUGUGAACAAGCAAAAUAGGGGUGCUUUAAUAGAAAACACUUUACAGCACAUUCCCAAUAAAUUGACAGGUUUAUACGAGUUUUAUACAAGAAAUGGAUGUUUCAUUUAGUGCAAACCAACCGACAAGAAAUAUGAAGACCUGUUCAAUUAUUUCAUUGAAAAUAGUUUAACAAUAUCUAGUAGUACUGAAGAAACAGUCUAUAUUGUUUUAAUACAUCAAUUCAGACUAUUAAAAGGGGAAACAAUGUAGUCAAUAAUAAUAAUAAUUUUAAAAAAUUAACUCUUUACAAGCUAUCCAAUUUAAAAGGAAGAGACACUUCCAUCUUACCAAGAGCAUCAUAUUAAACUGAUCCAACAUGAAGACAUGUGGCCUGCUUCACGGUUUGUUUCAGUGAGUGAGCUUUCCAAGCCUCCCUCAUUCUCUGAAGCCUGUUCAGAAUGAAGAAUAAAUCAGGCACCAUUUAAUGCCUAAUAAGUGCAAUUACCGCUAUUUAUUCUGUAGUCACAGGUUUGUGCCUGAGCUUUUAAGGUUGGCAGAUUGAAUCUGCAUUUUGGGAUGCAAAUAUGAAUCUAAUGCAAAUAACAUGAUUAGGACUGAAGGGAGGGAAAAGCAUGUGACAAUAUACAACAAUCAUGGUUUAAGAAACAUUUGGUUUAAAAACAUUUGUUUCUCUGCCACACAGUCAGUGCUGCCAAAAACGGAUUCUGAAUUAGUGAGAGGAGAUUGAUCAUGUGUAUAAAAAGACAAAAAAAAAAUAUCCCCACCCCCACCCUGUUGCAGCUGUCAAAAUCACACAACAUGCACAUGUAUAUGCAGUUGGCGAUCAUUUCAAACAUGUCUGAUCCCAUACAGCAGGACAAAAUCUGCAUGUUUAACUUCAUUAGCUAUGCGUCAGUUGGAGGCCUAUAGAUUAUGGCUAAUUAAGCAGCUUAAGAUGGCUUUAAACCCACACAGAAAAAUUAUCCAUCAUCCUGCUAAAGAUUUAGAUCCGACUGCCUUGUAUUUAUUUAUACACGUUUGUACAAGUUCUCUCUUUUCACAUCAGUUGAAUCCUAAAGAUUAGCAUAAUGCACAUACUAGACAACUAUUACAGACAUGCUAAAAGGCUUGUGUCUCUGAAACCAGUGGAGACCAAGGGGAGUGCCAAAAGAUGCUAAGACAUACAGUAUUAGCAUAACAUAUUAGCAUUAGUGACACAACAAGAGGCCCAUUGAAGAAUUGGUUCUCUGCUGGAAUGUUUAGGUGGUUCAGUACAAAAUUAUGAUUUGUAGCAAUACUAAUCUUUAGCAUUGUACAAAUGUUAUAAUGACACUAAGGAUGCUCAUGCUUAGCAUGUCAUGUAUUGUUAUGGCUUGCCUUAAUGUCGCUGAGAAAACAGUAUUUUGAUAUGCUGAAAGACAACAUGGUAUGACAUUUUAGCACAAUUUUAGCAUUAGCAACUGAGAAUUGUUUCACUAUGAGGAAACAUGAUUUCAUACAUUGGAAUGUGGAGUAGUCUGUAAUUAUAUAUUUUAUACAUACACACACACAUACAUACACACACAUAUACAUACACACACACACACACAAACAACACACACAUACACACAAUACACCUAUUACUUAGAAGUGUACAGGUGACAGCCAGGAUGCUAAUGAUAAGCAUACUAUUAAGAAAAAGUGAUAUUUCAAUGUGUAAACACAGCCAAGUGAAUGGACGCUCACUGUGUGCUCAACUGUAAUUAGACCAAUUUUAAUGGGCGGUGAUGAACAACGCACUUUGCUUCCUAGAGCUUCCGUCUCAUGCCAUUUCUUCUCUGUGAAAACACAGGCAGCUUAAUUCUUUUUGUCCCGGUAAGUGACAAUGCUCUUUCUUCACAGGUUUUGCAGGCAGUUUCGGCUUAGCCUGUUUGCAAAAGCAGCCGAGAUUCCUAUAGAGUUUGCUAAGGCGGGUGUUAACAGCAGAACAGCUUUAACCACCGCCUUUAGCACAACAGCACAGUGCCUGCUGACAUCAUGGUGAACAGAGAGCAGGUUGGCUGUUUUGAAACCGGUUAGUCUUGUUGGCUGACAGUAACUGCCAGAAACACACAAUCCAACAUGAAAAUGUAGACAUCUAGGAGGUUUUUCUUUCUGAUUAGUGCUUUCAAUCCUGCUGUCAGAAAAGCCUUAAAGUGCAAGAAAACAAACAUGGUUAAAAGCAAAUUCAUCUAAAAGAAUAGAGACUCUAAUAAUUGGCACUUUUAUGAAUCAGGGCUUUUUCAAUUUGUCAGCUCAAUGACUAGACUGCAAAUAUAUCACAGUCACAGUUGCCUGUGAGCAUUCGCAAGACUUGUGUUGAACUUCUCUCUGCCAAAAUGUCCAGCUUACAUCAUCAGUGUAGGUCAUAGAAAUCAUCGAGCAAACAGGGUUAAAGCUUCGUCUUCGUUCUCACACGGCACAAUAUCAAUCUGUGCAAUAUUGCUAUGCUCGGAACAGUAUUGACCCACAGAUGAAAGGGAACUUCUGUACAUGGGGAACAAUAACACCAUACACACGGCAUGUGUCAUAAAUUUAACAAUUUGAUUCUAGUAGGGAAGUUGUAGACCUUCUGUUUUGAGGCAAGCGUGAUGUUUUUCAUAGUGUUGUGAAGUCCAGUGGUGGAAAGAUACGUGCUUUCAUUGCUUUAGGCAGCAGACUACUGGCACCAGCAGAGAACCUUGUAGUCUGUCACAGUAUCAUUCCCCUCCUCUGUCUCUACAUUCCUCCACGACACAGUUAAAAAGACCCGUCAUGCCAAUCUGCCAGGUAUUACUCUGCUUUAUUUACUAGUGAGGGUGUGUGUGGGGGUGUGUGUAUAUAUAAAUAUAAACAUUCAAAUACACCUAAUAAAAGGUCCCAGAAUCUGACAGAAAUGUUAAACAAAUAUGAACAAAAAAAGCAGAGCAGAAGUGGCAAAUCGUGGUGAAAAUAGCUACAGCUGCACAGUCAAAAGGAGCCAGGAGAGGACACAAACGGGGGAACCAUUUUUUUUUAAAUCCGAGCAAGUACCAUUGGGAAACGAGCUUUCCGGUAAACAAAAGUCCCAUCAAGAUCCAAACCCAAAACCAGAGAUUUAUGCCUGGAUUUUUACAUUGAUGUGGAAAAAGCCGCAACAAAUUCAGAACACCAUGUUUAUUUCCUCCUGUUCAGCCCUAAUCCCAGGACAGCUAGCCGCCUUCGGAAUAACUACAGGCCCACUGCGGACACAACUAUCACCUUUGACCUCUGAAGCCCCGAUCCAGGAUCUGCUGUGCAACAAGGUCUACACUAUGGGAGACUACAGGAAGUGUGAGAGAUUAGAGAGUGUGUGUGAGAGAGAGAGAAAGAGAGAGAGAGAGAGAGAGAGCGUUCAUAUUACUAAACGUCAGCAAAUCUUUGGGUCACAGAAAGGCUAGUCACAAUCACUGUGAGAAGAAAACUACAUGAAGACAACAUGGCUCCCAAACUCGUGUACUGCAACUCCUCUGACCUAGCCCUGUUUCGUCAACACACACAGCAGGCAAGUUGCAGCAUCAAACUGACAGCAAGGAAGACAAAACCAGUCAGAAGCAUGAACACUCUGGACCAUCAGCAUUCCAGCGCUGACAUGUUUCUUGUGGGAUUUUUUUUUCCUACUUGAUAAAACGCCUCUGUUCCUCCCCAAGACACACAACUAUAAUUUAGUAAGUGUGCUAUGUGGCAAACUUUACUUUAAUUCCUCUACUUGACUUAAUCUUGACUCAUGAGACAUACAUACAUCUUGAGACUGGGUUUAGUCAUAAGUUUGAUCUUUGACUCACUUUUUAAAAUCUUUUUAAUAUCUAAGUAAAAGUAGAUUAUAGUAAGAGACCCAACAGUAAGCUAAGUAAGACAAGUAAACAAACAACAACAAUUUAAAAAAUAUAUAUAUACAGGAAAUAUCAGGUCACCAGGUGCUAAAUAUUAACAACCGAUUUGUUAAACCGAAAACUUAAAUGAUUUUUCAUGCAUCGCACAUAAUUCAUGCCUUUUUUUUCAGAUCCAUGUCUGCAACUGCUUGUUUUAGAUUUUAAACUCUUGAUAGAGCAGAUACAAGCUCUCUUCCACCGACUUUAACAUUAACAAACUAUAAAAUUAACUUCAAAACUAAAGGUAUGCGACAUAAAUGAUGUUUUCCCCCUGACAGUCUUGCACACAAAAAUGAAAAGAAAAGGUUCUGGUGUGCAACAGCCUUAAAAAGAAAGAAAGAAAACUGGUCUUUUAGUUGUUUUUUUUUAAUAAACAUGACGUUCCUCGCUGUAGUUAUAAGCAAUAAAUUAUUCAAUUCAAUUUCUAGAUGAAAAACAAAUGAUUCUGAAAAGAAACUGCAAUUUAUUUGUUUUAAAGUCGAUUUCUUUUGUGGAAGUGUCCCUCUUGUGAUUGUUAUGACUGCAGUAAGGCAUAUGUGAAAGCUACAGUACUUUAAAAGAAGCAGCACAGUACACCAUAUCAGUACAUAGUCAUGUUUUUUUCUAAUUGUUCAACAUAAUUGUUGUGUCUAGCAAAAUAAUCUAUAUGCUGAACUUUUCCUUCACUUAUUUCGUCUCCAACAUGCAUGGUGAAGAUUGGGUAGUGAUUGUUUCUUGCACAAAGAAUAGCCCAUCUCUUCGUUUUUACAGUAAAUGUUUUCCUCUAAUUGAAAUAAGAUACACUUUUGAACCUUUUCGAUUAAAUUAAUGAGUAAAUGUUUAAUUGGUAAACCUUUAAGUGACAGUAAUUAGGUUUUAUGUUCAAUUCUAAAAUCAUGCAAAGUAACAGAUUGAUAUUUCUUUUCAAAAUCCUUUGGGGUCAGUUGCCCACAGGCGCCAGUAUCUAUACAACUUCAAUAUAACAUACUAGGUGUUUCCUGAUUGUUUUCACUUUUGUAAUAGCUUUUUGCUGUGCUUUUCUACAAAGCCAGACAGGUCACCCAAACAGCCGUUUAAAAAAUAAUAAUAAAAAUAACAAAAAACAAAAAGGACAUACUGUAUCUGGACCAAGUCACUGGGGGCAGGAUACAGCCAUGCAAGAGUGGCAACUUCAAGCCGAUUGCAGAGAUAACAUUUUAGCAGCUAAUGGAGGUGGAACUAAAUAAACAGGAAUCUAUUUCCUCUUGCCCUGUUGGAAGAAACUGAAAUAUUUUUUAUAU